GGCUGGUCCGAUGGUAGUGGGUUAUCAGAACUUAUUAACAUCAGUGUCACUAAAGUUGGUAUACAACCCCCCACUGCUAAAUUUGACUGGCUAAAA
RNAcentral lists this Y RNA (96 nucleotides) under Prolemur simus (greater bamboo lemur). Its description in RNAcentral is "Y RNA (ENSPSMG00000021964.1)". It matches the Rfam family "Y RNA". Rfam says of the family: Y RNAs are components of the Ro ribonucleoprotein particle (Ro RNP), in association with Ro60 and La proteins. Lineage: Eukaryota; Metazoa; Chordata; Mammalia; Primates; Lemuridae. The record is from RNAcentral.